AAUCGGUGUGUAACCUUAACUAAGUAUAUACAUACUAAGUGUGUAAUAUAUAUUUAUAAAAUAUAAUAUACUGCUAUAAAAACAUACUAAAUAUAAAUAGAAAAAACUAACUAACAUAACAACAUUCUGAACGAAUGUGAAUGGAAGUGACACUUGACGUGCUUCACAAAAUUCUAUAAUUAGCUAUGGUCAAAGCCGUUCACCAAUGACCAUACACACACAAUGCAAACUAUUUACGAAUUACGUAAUGGCGACGAGUGCUUAUCAACAAUUAUUAUGCAAGGCAUCAUUGUGUUCAAAUUGUGGAAAUGAGUGUCUGAAAUGGUGUUAUGAAAGAAAAAUAAAAUAAAAUAACGUAUUAAGUGUGAACGAGUAUGCAGGUCGAUCGUAAUCCUGCUACCAGGAUGGCGUAGACAAAAAUAGAGGAAAUGACAGAGAGAUGAG
This is a long non-coding RNA of Helicoverpa zea (corn earworm), 444 nucleotides long. RefSeq lists it as uncharacterized. The transcript has 2 exons. The record is from RefSeq and is a predicted model, not a curated record. Lineage: Eukaryota; Metazoa; Arthropoda; Insecta; Lepidoptera; Noctuidae.